This 3117-nucleotide ribosomal RNA is filed under the name Triticum aestivum (bread wheat). RNAcentral's name for it is "partial small subunit ribosomal RNA". The record is from RNAcentral. Lineage: Eukaryota; Viridiplantae; Streptophyta; Magnoliopsida; Poales; Poaceae.
AUGAGGUGGCCGAGGAGCAGAUUGAAAUGGCUCCUCAGCGCAUGCCUCAUUUCCCUCCUGCUGCUCACGCCAACGGACCGCGGCGGGCUGCUGCUCGUCGCCGCCAUCAGGAAGAACUUGUUUUGGCCGCCACCUCCCCAGCCGUCUCCCCCGAGCCGAAUAGGUGAUGAAUUGGUGGAACAAUUAUGGCUCAACUGUGGUCUAGAUAGGAUAAUCCUUCAAGAUGUUAAAAACCAGUCCCAUCACACCCUUGCAUUCAGCACCAAGGAAGGAAUGAGCACUUCUUUGUCUCCAGAAGUUGCCGAUACUAUUCUGGAUUGCUUAAGCAAGCAUAAUUUUCCUUCACCACAUGGCUCUGGGCAUACACAGGAUGAAGAUGCUGAGGAGGAGGCAGGAAGCUUACUGCCAGAUUCCUAUAAUUUCAAACUGUCUUUUGCAUCAAAAAUAAGAUAUCUUCUUGAAGGAGCUUCAACAUCACAUUAUUCUUUGUCACCGCCAGCAAAAGAAGCAAUCAGGACUCUUUUCUCUUCCGAAGCAGAGGCUCGUCCGCUAGCUGUUAGCAUAAAAAUUUCUUUGGGAAAGAAGCGCAAGGAUGAUGACUCGGGUUCAUCCACUGCUGUCAUUGGUGCAGUGGCUUGUGUAGCAUUGGUGGCCCUUGUCGGUAGCUUGUGUGGGAUGUGUGACGAAGAGCCAGCAUCACCAUAUGAUCUAGUGGGGGGCGGUGAACUAACAGGUUCUUCCCGUAAGGAUUCCGCCACCCAGAUCGAUGUCAGUAGGCUGGGAGGAUUGUCAAACAGUGCAUCUGAGAAACAGCAGUCUGAAUUUACAGUACCAGUAAUGAAGUUGAAUGUUGAAAGACCAGCCGCGAAACUGAAGUCAGUAGGAGCAGCAUCAAUGAAGGAAGAACUAAUGGAGCGACACAGCAGGUUUGCUUCGUACGAAGUAACGACCAUCGCUGGACAGCAGCCGGCCAAACCCGAGAAGGCUGCAGUUUCUUCUGCAGGUCCAGCUCCGCCACCUCCUCCUCCACUUCCAGGUGCACCAGCACCACCACCUCCUCCUGUAGUUCCAGGUGCACCAGCACCAGGUGAACCAGCACCAGGUGAACCAGCACCAGGUGCACCAGCACCAGCACCAGGUGUACCAGCACCAGGUGCACCAGCAGCACCACCAGGUGCACCAGCAGCACCACCAGGUGCACCAGGUGCGCCACCACCACCACCAGGUGCACCAGCACCACCACCACCACCAGGUGCACCAGCACCACCCCCGCCACCAGGUGCACCAGCACCACCGCCUGCACCAGGUGCGCCCGCACCACCACCGCCUGCACCAGGUGCGCCCGCACCACCACCGCCUGCACCAGGUGCGCCCGCACCACCACCGCCUGCACCAGGUGCGCCCGCACCACCACCGCCUGCACCAGGUGCACCAGCACCACCACCGCCUGCACCAGGUGCACCCGCACCACCACCUGCACCAGGUGCACCCGCACCACCUCCAAAGCCGGGCGGCGGGCCUCCUCCUCCAGGGCCACCAGCACCUCCUGGUGCAAGGGCUGGAGCAGGACCUGGACCUCCACCUCCACCUGGAAAAGCUGGUGGACCGGGGGGACCUCCGCCACCAGCACUGCCCGGUGGUCCAAGAAAAGGACCUCCGCCGCUUAAGAAGCCAGGAGCUGCUGCAGCUCCUGUUGCAGACUCUUCGAAAACAAAGUUGAAGCCCUUCUUCUGGGAUAAAGUUACUGCAACAGAUCAAGCAAUGGUGUGGGAUCAAAUUAAAGCAGGAUCCUUCCAGUUUAAUGAGGAGAUGAUCGAAUCUCUUUUUGGUUGCAAACCUGUUGACAAAAGUAAUGAUGCCAAAAAAGAGCCAGCAAAGGAAGCUCCUCAAGUCAUUAGGAUCCUAGAUGCUAAAAAGGCACAGAAUUUAUCAAUAUCACUGAAGGCACUCAGUGUUACAGCUCAAGACGUGCAUACUGCAGUUACAGAAGGGCAUGAUCUCCCAGCCGAUUUGAUAACAACCUUGCUACGGUGGACCCCAACCAGUGAUGAGGAGCUAAAGCUUCGGCUCUACACUGGAGAGAUGAGUCAACUUGGUCCAGCGGAGCAAUUCUUGAAGACCAUCAUUGACAUCCCAUACAUUUUCCAGCGCUUGGAGACUUUGCUUUUGAUGGCCAGUUUGACGGAAGAAGCUACAAGUGUGGAGCAGUCAUUCAAAACCCUAGAGGUUGCCUGCGACGAGCUUAGGCACAGCCGUCUUUUCAAGAAGCUACUGGAGGCUGUACUUAAAACUGGCAACCGAAUGAAUGAUGGCACCUUUCGAGGGGGAGCACAGGCGUUCAAACUGGACACCCUCCUGAAGCUGGCUGAUGUCAAGGGGCUCGAUGGCAAGACGACGCUGCUGCAUUUCGUCGUCCAGGAGAUCAUCCGCUCGGAGGGUGUCCGUGCCGCGCGGGCGGCCAAGGAGCAGAAAAGCAGCGUCUCCAGCGUGAGCGGCGGCACCGAUGAUCUCUCCGAGGAUGUCGGCGACGACACGGAGCACUACAAGGAGCUUGGCCUCGAAGUGGUGUCCGGCCUGUCUGACGACCUCCAGAAUGUCCGCAAGGCAGCGAUCCUCGACGCGGACGCGCUUACCAUACAGGUAGCGAGCCUCGGGCACAGGCUGGUGAAGGCGAACGAGUUCUUGAACACGGGCAUUAAGAGCUUGGAGGAGGAGAGCGGGUUCCAACGCAAGUUGGCCCAGUUCGUAGAGAACUCCCAGGCGCAGGUGACCCGCCUGCUGGAGGAGGAGAAGAAGCUCCGCUUGAUGGUGCGCUCCACCGUGGACUACUUCCACGGCAGCAAGGGGAAGGACGAGGGCCUGCGCCUGUUUGUCGUCGUGCGCGACUUCCUGGUGAUACUGGAGAAGGUGUGCAAGGAGGUGAAAGACGCGGCUGCUUUGGCCGCCAAAGCAGCCGCUGCCAACAAGAAACCGGCGGCAGCGGCAGCACCGGCGAAAGGGGGCAAGCAGCCGUCCCAGUCACAGCAAUCCUUCCGCGACCCUCGGCAAGCUCUCAAGCCCGCGAUCCAAGGCCGGAGGGCAAAGCCGGACAGCAGCUCCAGCUCUGAUUCUGACUAG